This is a non-coding RNA of Meleagris gallopavo (turkey), 635 nucleotides long. NCBI's taxonomy places the organism in Eukaryota, Metazoa, Chordata, Aves, Galliformes, Phasianidae. The record is from RefSeq and is a predicted model, not a curated record.
CAACACAAGGCUUUCUUAGCACCCUUAUAGAAUAAGUUCUUAAAGGAUUUAGCUUUUACUAGCUUUUUUCCAGUUUUGGCAUAUUCUAUUAUUGCUUAUCUAGUGCAAAUCUGAGAUUCUUGUCGGGUUUUUUUCCAUAAAUUCAUGCUGAAAACUUUUUUUUGAGGAGACAGUAUGUAUGGUCCAAAUUUGAUAGAUAAGUAAUUUGUAAUUUAUGUCUAGGAAAAUAUUCAGAAUAGAAAUUUGAAAACUACUACUAGUCUUGAUACGGCUGCUGAUCAUAGUGUGUAUGAUGUCUACAACUUCAACGUCAGUGUGUUUAACGAGCCUACAAUAAAAGUUGGAAUCCAAGACUGCUGUGUUACGGAAGCAAACACUCAUACAGAUCCAAACAAAAAAGAGUAGGGAUGUCAUAUUGUACCUUUGUUCUUUGAUUAUAAGCAAGUAUAGUACUGUCUACAUUCCCUACCAUUCCGUUAUGACAAUCCAGGGAAUGUGUAUAUCUGGACUGCUAUUUUUUUUCAUGCAAUAAACAUAGUUGCUGUCAUCUCCUGGUUUUUCUUUGGAAAACUUCUACAUAACUGGUAAAAAUAAAGAUUGUGUUUCAUGAAGGAAACGCUCUUCAAAAUUCUCUU